CGGUACGUACUGGCAUCGUUGGUUUCUCCCUUCUGACGAACCAUGAUGUCAUUUAUUUGGUGUUGUGGGGAAUCAGGACUGUUACUUUGAAAAAAUUAGAGUGUUUAAAGCAGGCUCACGCUUGAAUACAUUAGCAUGGAGUAAUGAAAUAGGACGUUUGAUUCUAUUUUGUUGGUUUCUAGGAUCGACGUAAUGAUUAAUAGGGAUAGUUGGGGGCAUUAGUAUUCAAUUGUCAGAGGUGAAAUUCUUGGAUUUAUUGAAGACUAACUACUGCGAAAGCAUUUGCCAAGGAUGUUUUCAUUAAUCAAGAACGAAAGUUAGGGGAUCGAAGACGGUCAGAUACCGUCGUAGUCUUAACCAUAAACUAUGCCGACUAGGGAUCGGAUGAUGUUAAUUUUUUAAUGACUCAUUCGGCGCCUUACG
RNAcentral lists this ribosomal RNA (423 nucleotides) under uncultured Glomeromycotina. RNAcentral describes it as "SSU rRNA". It matches the Rfam family "Eukaryotic small subunit ribosomal RNA", at positions 671 to 1092 of the family's 1831-position model. Lineage: Eukaryota; Fungi; Glomeromycota. The record is from RNAcentral.